RNAcentral lists this small RNA (124 nucleotides) under Epilithonimonas hominis. Its description in RNAcentral is "Chryseobacterium hominis Flavo-1 RNA". It matches the Rfam family "Flavo-1 RNA". The record is from RNAcentral. Lineage: Bacteria; Pseudomonadati; Bacteroidota; Flavobacteriia; Flavobacteriales; Weeksellaceae.
CUUCCGCCAGUGCGUAAGGGAUAGUAACGGUUAUCCUUUUGUUUUUUUCUGCGAUUCGGAUUAUAUCAGAAAGACAAAUGUUUAUAAAAAAAACAAAAGAUAUGAGUGGAUAGCCCGACCCGCU